UAGGGAAUCUUCCACAAUGGACGCAAGUCUGAUGGAGCAACGCCGCGUGAGUGAAGAAGGUUUUCGGACCGUAAAGCUCUGUUGUUGGUGAAGAAGGAUAGAGGUAGUAACUGGCCUUUAUUUGACGGUAAUCAACCAGAAAGUCACGGCUAACUACGUGCCAGCAGCCGCGGUAAUACGUAGGUGGCAAGCGUUGUCCGGAUUUAUUGGGCGUAAAGCGAGCGCAGGCGGAAGAAUAAGUCUGAUGUGAAAGCCCUCGGCUUAACCGAGGAAUUGCAUCGGAAACUGUUUUCUUGAGUGCAGAAGAGGAGAGUAGAACUCCAUGUGUAGCGGUGGAAUGCGUAGAUAUAUGGAAGAAUACCAGUGGCGAAGGCGGCUCUCUGGUCUGCAACUGACGCUGAGGCUCGAAAGCAUGGGUAGCGAACAGGAUUAGAUACCCUGGUAGUCCAUGCCGUAAACGAUGAGUGCUAAGUGUUGGGAGCUCCGCUCUCAGUGCUGCAGCUAACGC
RNAcentral lists this ribosomal RNA (508 nucleotides) under uncultured bacterium. RNAcentral describes it as "partial 16S ribosomal RNA". It matches the Rfam family "Bacterial small subunit ribosomal RNA", at positions 355 to 858 of the family's 1533-position model. The record is from RNAcentral.